Molecule: unclassified non-coding RNA, 321 nt
Filed under: Hevea brasiliensis (rubber tree)
Lineage: Eukaryota; Viridiplantae; Streptophyta; Magnoliopsida; Malpighiales; Euphorbiaceae
Source: RNAcentral
AAAAUCUUUGUCAUUUCUGCACUAGUCUUUUGCAUUGCAUGCAUUCUGCUUGUAGAGAAGGAUUGUCUUUAUGCAUUCUAUCUAGAAUAGUGAAAUACUGACAUUGUUGCGUGCUAUCUACGUUCUGAAAGGAAAGAUGUCAUUCUGUUGCCUUUAAUGGAUCUGAUGGAAGAUCAAGUAAUUUUAUGACAAUCUCAAAUAAUUGGGAGAAUACCUUGUUCCAUUUUGUUGCAUAUAGGGAUGAGAUUUUGAACUGGCAAAGAUCUUUUAGUUUGUGGCAAGAGUGCUAGAUUUGAAAAUGGAAAUGGCUGAAUGGUAGAA